RNAcentral lists this microRNA precursor (118 nucleotides) under Oryza sativa (Asian cultivated rice). RNAcentral describes it as "miR1861d stem-loop (osa-MIR1861d)". It matches the Rfam family "MIR1861 microRNA precursor family". Lineage: Eukaryota; Viridiplantae; Streptophyta; Magnoliopsida; Poales; Poaceae. The record is from miRBase by way of RNAcentral.
UUGCAUAUUCUUAGGCCUGGUCUUGAGGCAGGAACUGAGUAGUUGGUGAACUCGCUCUAUGUUGUUCGUUCACUCGCGACGCGGUUCCUGUCCCAAGACCGAGUCUGUGAAUAUACAA